RNAcentral lists this transfer RNA (780 nucleotides) under Bradyrhizobium genosp. beta. RNAcentral's name for it is "16S-23S ribosomal RNA intergenic spacer". The stretch from base 189 to 262 matches the Rfam family "tRNA". The record is from RNAcentral. Lineage: Bacteria; Pseudomonadati; Pseudomonadota; Alphaproteobacteria; Hyphomicrobiales; Nitrobacteraceae.
CUAAGGAUGGUUCUUCAGAAGCUUGCUUCUAUCGAACCGUUUUAGAAACAUCAGUGGCCAACAGAUCGCCAGAUCGUUGAGCUGCAUUGGCGGGAUUUCGCCGUCUACGUUUCUCUUUCUUCGCGGACGAACACGCGCUGGGGCUGCAAGCUUGCAGAAUCCCUGGUCCUUAACAGGAUAUGCGUUAGGGGCUUGUAGCUCAGUUGGUUAGAGCGCGCGCUUGAUAAGCGUGAGGUCGGAAGUUCAAGUCUUCCCAGGCCCACCACUUUCAUCGAGUGAGCAUUCGUCUUCUGGUUACGGGGCCAUAGCUCAGCUGGGAGAGCGCGUGCUUUGCAAGCAUGAGGUCGUCGGUUCGAUCCCGUCUGGCUCCACCAGAUGGUUUGAUCACCGAGAUCUUGUACCGUCGUCCGCGAAACAUCACUUCGCACUUACUAGUCUGGAUAGACAGUAAGCUGCGUGAUUUCUGACAUCGUAAAGAGGAGAUCGAUCCGAGUUGGAUCGUGCGGCAAGCAAUUGCCACGCGAGACUUCAUUAUCUCCGGAUCAUUUCGGCGCUCGUGCGUCUUUCAAAGUAGCUCACAAGGCUGCGCUUGAGAGACAAGCGAGUUGUAAAUGAUCCUUUUAGCGAAGCUUGACCGCCUCGCUAUCGGAACGAUCUUACGAAGCAAGCUGGUCUUUCUAAUCAUUGUCCGGCUGCAGAUAGCGUUCAUCGAGGGCGCGUGCCGCAAGGUAGUUCUGCAGACAACAUUCUGCCGAGUGUGUGGACAUUGAUAAUGAGAGC